CCAUAUAGCCGACCCCAAAUUCUUAGGAUAAAGGCUUAGUUGAGUUAAGCUGAGUUGUAUGCUGAGUUGUAUGCUAUGGCGCCUUACUUCAAAAAGCCCUCGCCUCGCAUCUCGCCUUAAUAACACUGACCAUAUGCCUGGAAUAAAUUUGCAAUACUGAUGAGAUGGUAAAUAUAUUUUUUCCUCAAGUCCUAAAUUAGAGCAAAGGACCAAAUCAUAAUAUUAACAUGUUUGCCCUAUUCCUACAAUAGAUAGCAAUACCCUAAGGUAAGUAUCUUUUCUCCCCUUUUUUCUCCCUUUUCUAGCUCUCUUAUUCUCUCAAAUGGUCACUGCCUAGACCAUUGGAGUGGGCAUGCCAGCGCCAUCCUGGCACCCACGUAACGGACUUUUCCAAAUUUUACAGGAUGGAGCUACCAGAAGGAUCGGAUUUUUCCAAUAUUUAUCAAUUAAUAAAUAAUCAGAAAUAGUUUCUAAUAGUUAAUCAAAUGCAUAAACAAGAACCUAAGAGAGCAAGACCAAUAUAACUAACAUUGUGUGUGCGCAUGUGUUUGUGAAGAAGAUGAUAGAAGUCUACAUAGACCAAGACAUGGUCUCCACUUGUAAUAAUUAAUUCAUAAUAACAAGAAAAUACUUAACACAGCCUUAACCGCAGACUAGUAGACCAGCUACAUGAAUAGCUUUCUCUAUUCAAGGACUAUUCUCAAGAAUAAUAUGCACACCAACAAACAAUCACUGUGUAAUGAUUGAUGGGUGUAUUGCUAACAUAAACAAGAAACAAUAUAAAUACUCCGUUAAGUAUGGAGAAAAUUGGAGAAUUACCAGUUGCAACAAGCAGUUCCGCGGGACAGAAUAUGUAUCUGCUAAAACAUGGUUGCUAUUUGAUAAAAAGUCCUCACCAUUAACUUCAUUGCUUAUGAAACUUGUUUUGUUACAGCUUUUGCAUGAAGCUGCCCUAUCAGGAGCUUUAUCUGAGAGAAGAGGCACAACAUCACCGUCAAGGCUGCUUGUCAACUGACUAAGAAAACACUCUGCUUCAUGAAUGCCCUCAGGGGCAGCAGAUUUGAAUAGCUCAAAACAUGCUGCAAGCAUAUUUUUUGGACAAGAAAAGAAGAUCCAGAGCAUACAUAGUGCCCGAAAUUUGGAUAAUUUAACUGUUGAAGAUCUGUCUUCAUCAGAAAAUUUUUGCUUCAGCCCAGAAAAGACCUCAGCAGAACCUUGCAUCUUCAAUAUUUCCUCAUCAACUAUCUGUAAGGCAUCUUUUCCCUCAAAGGAGGACAUCAAAAAGGAGAGCACAUUCUGAAAAACUGCAGAACAGAUGCCUUGGAUUACAGAUGUUGCUGGAGCCUCCAAAGAAGUAGUGCGGCAGAUAUCAGCUAAACCAAAAAUACAGGCCUUAGCAGUCUCAAAUGCAACACCAUUAGAAUCCUCUCCUCUAUUUAUCACUGUCAUGCUCCAGUUAUGCAUAUUGAUCACAACUUUAGUAGCAGCUUCAAGUGCAGUUGGACAGUAUGAUGCAUAUCGAGGAAUGAGAUCAGCUAGUAUACGCUGUACACUAGUGCAACCUUUUGAAGCAUUAACGAGAGAGAGAUAAGCUUGUUCAAGGUCGGGCAUGUGGCGCUUCUCUUUUAGAGCAACGCAGAACUUAAGGCGCUUGUAAGUAUCGUAGACGUUUUUAAUCUCAUCUCUGUUCUUCCGUCUCGCGAGAAUUUGCUCUUGGGACAGUGGUGGGGGUGGAGCUACGGUGCUCUGAGGCUCAGCCGGGGUUUCUGGUGGUUGUUCUGGCGGCGGUGUUUCUGGUCGAGUCUCGUAGAGCUUCCGCUUCUUGAGAGGCUGCUCUGACGAGGACAUGGCCCGAAAAGACGCAGGUAGAGCGCCUGCCCCUGGUUCAGUGGAGAAAUGGAGUUUCGCCUUGAGUGUUUCAAUUGGGGUUUGGGGACGAGGUGUUCAG
Molecule: unclassified non-coding RNA, 1948 nt
Filed under: Hevea brasiliensis (rubber tree)
Lineage: Eukaryota; Viridiplantae; Streptophyta; Magnoliopsida; Malpighiales; Euphorbiaceae
Source: RNAcentral